UUGACCUCGGAUCAGGUAGGGAUACCCGCUGAACUUAAGCAUAUCAAUAAGCGGAGGAAAAGAAACCAACAGGGAUUGCCCU
This 82-nucleotide ribosomal RNA is filed under the name Penicillium fellutanum. Its description in RNAcentral is "partial 28S ribosomal RNA". It matches the Rfam family "Eukaryotic large subunit ribosomal RNA", at positions 1 to 81 of the family's 3401-position model. The record is from RNAcentral. Lineage: Eukaryota; Fungi; Ascomycota; Eurotiomycetes; Eurotiales; Aspergillaceae.